Molecule: ribosomal RNA, 525 nt
Filed under: uncultured bacterium
Lineage: Bacteria
Description: bacterial SSU rRNA
Rfam family: Bacterial small subunit ribosomal RNA
Source: RNAcentral
GGCGGCGUGCUUACACAUGCAAGNNNNNCGAUGAAACCUAGCUUGCUAGGUGGAUUAGUGGCGCACGGGUGAGUAAUGGAUAGGUUACCUGCCUCAUAGUCCGGNACAACAAUUGGAAACGAUUGCUAAUACCGGAUAUUCCCUACGGGGGAAAGAUUUAUCGCUAUGAGAUGGGCCUAUCUCCUAUCAGCUAUUUGGUAAGGUAAUGGCUUACCAAGGCUAUGACGGGUAGCUGGUCUUAGAGGACGAUCAGCCACACUGGAACUGAGACACGGUCCAGACUCCUACGGGAGGCAGCAGUGGGGAAUAUUGCACAAUGGGGGAAACCCUGAUGCAGCAACGCCGCGUGGAGGAUGACGCAUUUCGGUGUGUAAACUCCUUUUAUUAAGGAAGAAAUUUGACGGUACUUAAUGAAUAAGCACCGGGCUAACUCCGUGCCAGCAGCCGCGGUAAUACGGAGGGGGCAAGCGUUACUCGGAAUUACUGGGCGUAAAAGGACNCGUAGGCGGUUUGAUAAGUUANAUG